Molecule: ribosomal RNA, 706 nt
Filed under: Gammaproteobacteria bacterium
Lineage: Bacteria; Pseudomonadati; Pseudomonadota; Gammaproteobacteria
Description: bacterial SSU rRNA
Rfam family: Bacterial small subunit ribosomal RNA
Source: RNAcentral
UUUCCAGCUUGCUGGAAGAUGACGAGCGGCGGACGGGUGAGUAAUACUUGGGGAUCUGCCUGAUGGCGGGGGACAACCACUGGAAACGGUGGCUAAUACCGCAUAAUGCCUACGGGCCAAAGUGUGGGACCUUCGGGCCACAUGCCAUCAGAUGAACCCAAGCGAGAUUAGCUAGUUGGUGAGGUAAUGGCUCACCAAGGCGACGAUCUCUAGCUGUUCUGAGAGGAUGAUCAGCCACACUGGGACUGAGACACGGCCCAGACUCCUACGGGAGGCAGCAGUGGGGAAUAUUGGACAAUGGGCGCAAGCCUGAUCCAGCCAUGCCGCGUGUGUGAAGAAGGCCUUCGGGUUGUAAAGCACUUUCAGUGGUGAGGAAGGCGUUGUAGUUAAUAGCUGCAACGAUUGACGUUAGCCACAGAAGAAGCACCGGCUAACUCCGUGCCAGCAGCCGCGGUAAUACGGAGGGUGCGAGCGUUAAUCGGAAUUACUGGGCGUAAAGCGCACGUAGGCGGCUUGUUAAGCAAGAUGUGAAAGCCCAGGGCUCAACCUUGGAAUUGCAUUUUGAACUGGCAAGCUAGAGUUUUGAAGAGGGUGGUAGAAUUUCCAGUGUAGCGGUGAAAUGCGUAGAUAUUGGAAGGAAUACCAGUGGCGAAGGCGGCCACCUGGUCAAAAACUGACGCUGAGGAGCGAAAGCGUGGGGAGCAAA